This 136-nucleotide transfer RNA is filed under the name Caudoviricetes sp. Its description in RNAcentral is "tRNA-OTHER". It matches the Rfam family "tRNA". From Rfam's summary of the family: Transfer RNA (tRNA) molecules are approximately 80 nucleotides in length. Their secondary structure includes four short double-helical elements and three loops (D, anti-codon, and T loops). The record is from RNAcentral. Lineage: Duplodnaviria; Heunggongvirae; Uroviricota; Caudoviricetes.
GCCGUUGUAGCUCAAUGCAGAGCGGCGGGCAUUUAACCCGCGUCACACUGACGAUACGCAGAGAUGAUUCCUUCCGGCUCCUGUCAUCCGGGAGGCUGAUGCUCUGUGGUGCUGGUUCAAGUCCAGCCAUCGGCUA